UCCCAGACUCCUACGGGAGGCAGCAGUGGGGAAUAUUGCACAAUGGGGGAAACCCUGAUGCAGCGACGCCGCGUGAGUGAAGAAGUAUUUCGGUAUGUAAAGCUCUAUCAGCAGGGAAGAAAAUGACGGUACCUGACUAAGAAGCCCCGGCUAACUACGUGCCAGCAGCCGCGGUAAUACGUAGGGGGCAAGCGUUAUCCGGAUUUACUGGGUGUAAAGGGAGCGUAGACGGCAGUGCAAGUCCGGAGUGAAAGCCCGGGGCUCAACCCUGGGACUGCUCUGGAAACUGUAAAGCUGGAGUGCGGGAGGGGCAGGCGGAAUUCCUGGUGUAGCGGUGAAAUGCGUAGAUAUCAGGAGGAACACCGGCGGCGAAGGCGGCCUGUUGGACCGUAACUGACGUUGAGGCUCGAAAGCGUGGGGAGCAAACAGGAUUAGAUACCCUGGUA
Molecule: ribosomal RNA, 446 nt
Filed under: uncultured bacterium
Lineage: Bacteria
Description: bacterial SSU rRNA
Rfam family: Bacterial small subunit ribosomal RNA
Source: RNAcentral